This 199-nucleotide long non-coding RNA is filed under the name Nicotiana benthamiana. RNAcentral describes it as "long non-coding RNA (NBEN_LNC042280)". Lineage: Eukaryota; Viridiplantae; Streptophyta; Magnoliopsida; Solanales; Solanaceae. The record is from RNAcentral.
GGACUUCUACAUUUGCAUCAGCUUAGUAAGUGUACCUGAAAAUUGCGAAUUGGAAAGGAAAGUGAGAUCAGUAGCAGUAGAUGGAAAAGCAACAGAUCACAUCCAUAAUAAAACUAUCUAAACCCAGCAGAGUACCAAAAUGGGCAAAGAUGAACCCAGUAAAUGACACAAUCAAUGAAACGAACACUUCAAUUGUGCC